This 1000-nucleotide ribosomal RNA is filed under the name uncultured bacterium. RNAcentral describes it as "bacterial SSU rRNA". It matches the Rfam family "Bacterial small subunit ribosomal RNA", at positions 355 to 1375 of the family's 1533-position model. The record is from RNAcentral. RNAcentral also lists the same sequence under 1 other name.
UGGGGGAUAUUGCGCAAUGGGGGCAACCCUGACGCAGCAACGCCGCGUGAAGGAUGAAGGUUUUCGGAUUGUAAACUUCUUUUAUUAAGGACGAAAAAUGACGGUACUUAAUGAAUAAGCUCCGGCUAACUACGUGCCAGCAGCCGCGGUAAUACGUAGGGAGCAAGCGUUGUCCGGAUUUACUGGGUGUAAAGGGUGCGUAGGCGGCUUUGCAAGUCAGAUGUGAAAUCUAUGGGCUCAACCCAUAAACUGCAUUUGAAACUGUAGAGCUUGAGUGAAGUAGAGGCAGGCGGAAUUCCCCGUGUAGCGGUGAAAUGCGUAGAGAUGGGGAGGAACACCAGUGGCGAAGGCGGCCUGCUGGGCUUUAACUGACGCUGAGGCACGAAAGCGUGGGUAGCAAACAGGAUUAGAUACCCUGGUAGUCCACGCUGUAAACGAUGAUUACUAGGUGUGGGGGGUCUGACCCCUUCCGUGCCGGAGUUAACACAAUAAGUAAUCCACCUGGGGAGUACGGCCGCAAGGUUGAAACUCAAAGGAAUUGACGGGGGCCCGCACAAGCAGUGGAGUAUGUGGUUUAAUUCGAAGCAACGCGAAGAACCUUACCAGGUCUUGACAUCCAACUAACGAAGUAGAGAUACAUUAGGUGCCCUUCGGGGAAAGUUGAGACAGGUGGUGCAUGGUUGUCGUCAGCUCGUGUCGUGAGAUGUUGGGUUAAGUCCCGCAACGAGCGCAACCCUUGCUAUUAGUUGCUACGCAAGAGCACUCUAAUAGGACUGCCGUUGACAAAACGGAGGAAGGUGGGGACGACGUCAAAUCAUCAUGCCCCUUAUGACCUGGGCUACACACGUACUACAAUGGAUGUUAACAGAGGGAAGCAAGACAGCGAUGUGGAGCAAACCCCUAAAAACAUUCUCAGUUCAGAUUGCAGGCUGCAACCCGCCUGCAUGAAGAUGGAAUUGCUAGUAAUCGCGGAUCAGUAUGCCGCGGUGAAUACGUUCCC